This 301-nucleotide ribosomal RNA is filed under the name uncultured bacterium. RNAcentral's name for it is "partial 16S ribosomal RNA". It matches the Rfam family "Bacterial small subunit ribosomal RNA", at positions 509 to 809 of the family's 1533-position model. The record is from RNAcentral.
CAGCCGCCGCGGGAAUACAGAGGGUGCGAGCGUUAAUCGGAUUUACUGGGCGUAAAGCGUGCGUAGGCGGCUUUUUAAGUCGGAUGUGAAAUCCCUGAGCUUAACUUAGGAAUUGCAUUCGAUACUGGGAAGCUAGAGUAUGGGAGAGGAUGGUAGAAUUCCAGGUGUAGCGGUGAAAUGCGUAGAGAUCUGGAGGAAUACCGAUGGCGAAGGCAGCCAUCUGGCCUAAUACUGACGCUGAGGUACGAAAGCAUGGGGAGCAAACAGGAUUAGAUACCCGUGUAGUCCCUGUCUCUUAUAA